RNAcentral lists this ribosomal RNA (254 nucleotides) under Rhabdothermincola sp. RNAcentral describes it as "partial 16S ribosomal RNA". It matches the Rfam family "Bacterial small subunit ribosomal RNA", at positions 524 to 776 of the family's 1533-position model. Lineage: Bacteria; Bacillati; Actinomycetota; Acidimicrobiia; Acidimicrobiales; Iamiaceae. RNAcentral also lists the same sequence under 3 other names. The record is from RNAcentral.
UACGUAGGGGGCGAGCGUUGUCCGGAUUCAUUGGGCGUAAAGAGCUCGUAGGCGGUUCGGUAAGUCAGGUGUGAAAACUCCAGGCUCAACUUGGAGACGCCACCUGAUACUGUCGUGACUAGAGUCCGGUAGGGGAGCAUGGAAUUCCUGGUGUAGCGGUGAAAUGCGCAGAUAUCAGGAGGAACACCAGCGGCGAAGGCGGUGCUCUGGGCCGGAACUGACGCUGAGGAGCGAAAGCGUGGGGAGCGAACAGG